ACAUCUAAAUCCAGUGUCAGCUUUCCACUUUUGAGAGCUCCCAGGCUCGUCUGGACUUUUCUGAUUCAUCACCUUGUAUUCCCGCCUUCUCCGUACUCCAUAGAGAUUGAACUCCGUGGAUUCAUACAAACUUUCCAGUCCUCAGACUUUGAAGAGUCUUCUUGAUUAAUCUUCCAGGAUCGUCGUACGUUCUCGCUGUCCUUUU
RNAcentral lists this long non-coding RNA (205 nucleotides) under Lathyrus oleraceus (garden pea). RNAcentral describes it as "Pisum sativum (pea) long non-coding RNA (PSAT_LNC028654)". The record is from RNAcentral. Lineage: Eukaryota; Viridiplantae; Streptophyta; Magnoliopsida; Fabales; Fabaceae.